CCUACGGGUGGCAGCAGUGAGGAAUAUUGGUCAAUGGACGAGAGUCUGAACCAGCCAAGCAGCGUGAAGGAUGACUGCCCUAUGGGUUGUAAACUUCUUUUAUAUGGGAGUAAAAUGUUCCACGUGUGGGAUUUUGUAUGUACCAUAUGAAUAAGGAUCGGCUAACUCUGUGCCAGCGGCCGCGGUAAUACGGAGGAUGCGAGCGUUAUCCGGAUUUAUGGGGUUGAAAGGGUGCGUAGGCGGAAGGUUAAGUCAGCGGUAAAAUGUCGGGGCUCAACACCGGCCUGCCGUUGAAACUGGUCAUCUUGAGUGAGCGAGAGGUAUGCGGAAUGCGUGGUGUAGCGGUGAAAUGCAUAGAUAUCACGCAGAACUCCGGUUGCGAAGGCAGCAUACCGGCGCUCAACUGACGCUGAGGCACGAAAGCGUGGGGAGCGAACAGGAUUAGAUACCCGGGUAGUC
RNAcentral lists this ribosomal RNA (459 nucleotides) under uncultured bacterium. RNAcentral's name for it is "partial 16S ribosomal RNA". It matches the Rfam family "Bacterial small subunit ribosomal RNA", at positions 338 to 795 of the family's 1533-position model. The record is from RNAcentral.